CCUACGGGGGGCAGCAGUGGGGAAUAUUGGACAAUGGGGGGAACCCUGAUCCAGCCAUGCCGCGUGUGUGAAGAAGGCCCUCGGGUUGUAAAGCACUUUCAGUGAGGAAGAACGCCUGGUGGUUAAUACCCAUCAGGAAAGACAUCACUCACAGAAGAAGCACCGGCUAACUCCGUGCCAGCAGCCGCGGUAAUACGGAGGGUGCGAGCGUUAAUCGGAAUUACUGGGCGUAAAGCGCGCGUAGGUGGCUUGAUAAGCCGGUUGUGAAAGCCCCGGGCUCAACCUGGGAACGGCAUCCGGAACUGUCAAGCUAGAGUGCAGGAGAGGAAGGUAGAAUUCCCGGUGUAGCGGUGAAAUGCGUAGAGAUCGGGAGGAAUACCAGUGGCGAAGGCGGCCUUCUGGACUGACACUGACACUGAGGUGCGAAAGCGUGGGUAGCAAACAGGAUUAGAACCCUGGUAGUC
RNAcentral lists this ribosomal RNA (464 nucleotides) under Vreelandella stevensii. RNAcentral describes it as "partial 16S ribosomal RNA". It matches the Rfam family "Bacterial small subunit ribosomal RNA", at positions 338 to 795 of the family's 1533-position model. The record is from RNAcentral. Lineage: Bacteria; Pseudomonadati; Pseudomonadota; Gammaproteobacteria; Oceanospirillales; Halomonadaceae.